GGGGCCAUGAACAACUGCAAUACCAUCAUAGGAUACAAUUAAAAUUUCAUUUGGACUAUGCAAGUACAAGUUCCAUCAACUUUCAGAAGCUUACAAAUUUCCCUAUCUUUAUCGUGAAUAAUGAAGUUCAAUAAUUUUUACACUACUGUACUUCUAGACAGAUUAUCGAUUAUUAAAUUAAAAUCUAAUUAACAUUUAUUGAAUUAACUUUAGCACUAGAAAAUGACCCCCGCCAGAGACGUAUCCUUUAUUAAAACCAUGAUGUUUUCA
RNAcentral lists this unclassified non-coding RNA (270 nucleotides) under Hevea brasiliensis (rubber tree). Lineage: Eukaryota; Viridiplantae; Streptophyta; Magnoliopsida; Malpighiales; Euphorbiaceae. The record is from RNAcentral.